This 1004-nucleotide ribosomal RNA is filed under the name uncultured bacterium. Its description in RNAcentral is "bacterial SSU rRNA". It matches the Rfam family "Bacterial small subunit ribosomal RNA", at positions 8 to 986 of the family's 1533-position model. The record is from RNAcentral.
AGAGUUUGAUCCUGGCUCAGAACGAACGCUGGCGGCGUGGAUAAGACAUGCAAGUCGGACGAGAUUUCGUCCUGUAGCAAUACGGGAAGAAGUCUAGUGGCGAACGGGUGCUUAACACGUGGGCAAUCUGUCUUAAAGUGGGGGAUAGCUCGGCGAAAGCCGAAUUAAUACCGCAUGUGAUUAGAGUGGACAUCCAUUCGAAAUUAAAGUCGGGGCAACCUGACGCUUUUUGAGGAGCCCGCGGCCUAUCAGCUAGUUGGUGAGGUAACGGCUCACCAAGGCUUUGACGGGUAGCUGGUCUGGGAGGACGACCAGCCACACUGGGACUGAGACACGGCCCAGACACCUACGGGUGGCAGCAGUCGAGAAUUUUUCUCAAUGGGGGAAACCCUGAAGGAGCGACGCCGCGUGGAGGAUGAAGGUCUUCGGAUUGUAAACUCCUGUCAUUGGGGAACAAGGUGCAUACGUUAACUGCGUGUGCAUUGAUAGUACCCGAAGAGGAAGAGACGGCUAACUCUGUGCCAGCAGCCGCGGUAAUACAGAGGUCUCAAGCGUUGUUCGGAUUCAUUGGGCGUAAAGGGUGCGUAGGCGGCGCGGUAAGUCGGGUGUGAAAUCUCGGAGCUUAACUCCGAAACUGCAUUCGAUACUGCCGUGCUCGAGGACUGGAGAGGAGACUGGAAUUUACGGUGUAGCGGUGAAAUGCGUAGAUAUCGUAAGGAAGACCAGUGGCGAAGGCGGGUCUCUGGACAGUUCCUGACGCUGAGGCACGAAGGUCAGGGGAGCAAACGGGAUUAGAUACCCCGGUAGUCCUGACAGUAAACGGUGCACGUUUGGUGUGGGAGGAUUCGACCCCUUCUGCGCCGGAGCUAACGCGUUAAACGUGCCGCCUGGGGAGUACGGUCGCAAGAUUAAAACUCAAAGAAAUUGACGGGGGCCCGCACAAGCGGUGGAGUAUGUGGCUCAAUUUCGAUGCAACGCGGAAGAACCUUACCAGGGCCUUGACA